Long non-coding RNA from Rhea pennata, 1005 nucleotides. RefSeq lists it as uncharacterized. The transcript has 3 exons. Lineage: Eukaryota; Metazoa; Chordata; Aves; Rheiformes; Rheidae. The record is from RefSeq and is a predicted model, not a curated record.
UGAGCCGGGCUGGGCCGGGCCGGGCCGAGGCAAGGCUCCCCGCUCCUGCCAGGCGGGCCGCGGCCUCGGCGAGUCCCGGGAGCGCCGGGCUCCGGGAGGGCGCAGGAAAGUUGGUAAAUAUACAACCGCUGACAAAAUACGUAAGAUGAAAACUUGACACCCAGGAAGCAUACAAGAAGUCUUUCUCUGAUUGUGAUGGGAUGAGAAUUGCUCUUGGGAGCUCUGAUAUGCGAGUGUUUCACUGCUGAGCCUCAUGGCCAGCCAGUCGUGGCUAUGCCUUGGAGACCUGCAGCUGGUCUAUGCAGUGCUAAAACAAAGGAAAGUAGCUGAUGCAGAACAGUGUGAUGGACAAGCCUGGGCUGGCUGUUUGAAUGGAGUGAGGCGCAAGAGGUGAAUGCCAGGCAAAUGUGCCAUCUUGGCAAGAACUUACGGAAUUAAGUUGAACUGCAUGUGGAAGAAGUUUUCUGGAAUCAACACAAGUCCUCAAGUCCCUGUUCCGUUACUAGGCUGGGGCAACUAGGGAUGUCAAGGUGAUAUACCUUGUUUCAUGCAAACAGCUUAUAGUUGAGCUUGUCUUUCAACCUCCUAUAUGUGUAAAGUGAUUUUUUGGGAAGGCUUCUCUGUGGAGACAUCUCUCUGGCUUAACCAUGAUCUACUAUUGGCCUGCAUUGCCUCUUGAGGCCUUCAUCACUCUUCAGUAGCUUGCUGCCAGGCCAUAAGAUGAGUUGUUUCCCUUUCUUUCUUUGCCCUGAAUGCAUGGUUCUGUUAAGGCAACUCAUAGAUCAAUGGCUAAAACCUGUUCUUCAGGCUCUUCAUCUCUGAACUUGCUGGAGGCUUUGAGACAGCUUGCAUGGCUCUGCCACAGCCCCUGUUCUGAGCUGCUGUGAUUCAUCAUGGCCUGGGAAGCAUGAGGGAAGCACCUUAGCACCCUGUGAAUUGCUGCAGCUAAGCUCUCCACUUUAAUCUGCCAUAUCCACCAGGAACAUUAAAAUAUUGCCAAAUUUU